RNAcentral lists this ribosomal RNA (232 nucleotides) under uncultured bacterium. Its description in RNAcentral is "partial 16S ribosomal RNA". It matches the Rfam family "Bacterial small subunit ribosomal RNA", at positions 923 to 1158 of the family's 1533-position model. The record is from RNAcentral.
GCACAAGCAGUGGAGUAUGUGGUUUAAUUCGAAGCAACGCGAAGAACCUUACCAGGUCUUGACAUCCAACUAACGAAGUAGAGAUACAUUAGGUGCCCUUCGGGGAAAGUUGAGACAGGUGGUGCAUGGUUGUCGUCAGCUCGUGUCGUGAGAUGUUGGGUUAAGUCCCGCAACGAGCGCAACCCUUGCUAUUAGUUGCUACGCAAGAGCACUCUAAUAGGACUGCCGUUGA